This 239-nucleotide long non-coding RNA is filed under the name Lathyrus oleraceus (garden pea). RNAcentral's name for it is "Pisum sativum (pea) long non-coding RNA (PSAT_LNC023047)". The record is from RNAcentral. Lineage: Eukaryota; Viridiplantae; Streptophyta; Magnoliopsida; Fabales; Fabaceae.
AAGAAGAUCAUGGAGUGGCUAAGCUUGGAUGUGGCUAUCUUUAUUUGAUGCCUUGCUCUUCAAGAUUGAUAUACUUAUGCAUUUAUGUGUUGCUUGAUUCUAAAUGUCCAAGGGAAUUUGGGUUUCUAUCGAUAUUCUUGUCUAUUGGAUUGCUACCCAUUGAUCAGAUCUUUUCAACCCUUAACUUUUAAUUUUGUGCAUAGGAUUAGUCUCUUCAUCUCCCCCCAUUUCUUUAAUUU